Molecule: ribosomal RNA, 436 nt
Filed under: Babesia microti
Lineage: Eukaryota; Apicomplexa; Aconoidasida; Piroplasmida; Babesiidae
Description: SSU rRNA
Rfam family: Eukaryotic small subunit ribosomal RNA
Source: RNAcentral
AAUUACCCAAUCCUGACACAGGGAGGUAGUGACAAGAAAUAACAAUACAGGGCUUAAAGUCUUGUAAUUGGAAUGAUGGGAAUCUAAACCCUUCCCAGAGUAUCAAUUGGAGGGCAAGUCUGGUGCCAGCAGCCGCGGUAAUUCCAGCUCCAAUAGUGUAUAUUAAAGUUGUUGCAGUUAAGAAGCUCGUAGUUGAAUUUCUGCCUUGUCAUUAAUCUCGCUUCCGAGCGUUUUUUUAUUGACUUGGCAUCUUCUGGAUUUGGUGCCUUCGGGUACUAUUUUCCAGGAUUUACUUUGAGAAAACUAGAGUGUUUCAAACAGGCAUUCGCCUUGAAUACUACAGCAUGGAAUAAUGAAGUAGGACUUUGGUUCUAUUUUGUUGGUUAUUGAGCCAGAGUAAUGGUUAAUAGGAGCAGUUGGGGGCAUUCGUAUUUAA